RNAcentral lists this ribosomal RNA (494 nucleotides) under uncultured bacterium. RNAcentral's name for it is "partial 16S ribosomal RNA". It matches the Rfam family "Bacterial small subunit ribosomal RNA", at positions 899 to 1397 of the family's 1533-position model. The record is from RNAcentral.
ACUCAAAUGAAUUGACGGGGACCCGCACAAGCGGUGGAUGAUGUGGAUUAAUUCGAUGCAACGCGAAAAACCUUACCUACGCUUGACAUGCUAGGAACCUCGCAGAGAUGUGAGGGUGCUCGAAAGAGAGCCUAGACACAGGUGCUGCAUGGCUGUCGUCAGCUCGUGUCGUGAGAUGUUGGGUUAAGUCCCGCAACGAGCGCAACCCUUGUCCUUAGUUGCUACGAAAGGGCACUCUAAGGAGACUGCCGGUGACAAACCGGAGGAAGGUGGGGAUGACGUCAAGUCCUCAUGGCCCUUAUGCGUAGGGCUUCACACGUCAUACAAUGGUCGGUACAGAGGGUCGCCAACCCGCGAGGGGGAGCCAAUCCCAGAAAACCGAUCGUAGUCCGGAUUGCACUCUGCAACUCGAGUGCAUGAAGUCGGAAUCGCUAGUAAUCGCGGAUCAGCAUGUCGCGGUGAAUACGUUCCCGGGUCUUGUACACACCGCCCGU